RNAcentral lists this ribosomal RNA (300 nucleotides) under uncultured delta proteobacterium. RNAcentral describes it as "bacterial SSU rRNA". It matches the Rfam family "Bacterial small subunit ribosomal RNA", at positions 114 to 398 of the family's 1533-position model. The record is from RNAcentral. Lineage: Bacteria; Deltaproteobacteria.
CGCGUGGAUAAUCUGCCUUUAGGUUUGGGACAACCCCGGGAAACUGGGGCUAAUACCGGAUAAGACUACGAUUCCCCCGGGUUUCGUGGAAAAAGAUGGCCUCUCCUUGGAAGCUAUCGCCUGAAGAUGAGUCCGCGUUCCAUUAGCUUGUUGGUGAGGUAAGAGCUCACCAAGGCUUCGAUGGAUAGCUGGUCUGAGAGGAUGAUCAGCCACACUGGAACUGAGACACGGUCCAGACUCCUACGGGAGGCAGCAGUCGGGAAUCUUGGGCAAUGGGCGAAAGCCUGACCCAGCAACUCC